Myiozetetes cayanensis is the source of this 274-nucleotide long non-coding RNA. RefSeq lists it as uncharacterized. The transcript has 5 exons. The record is from RefSeq and is a predicted model, not a curated record. NCBI's taxonomy places the organism in Eukaryota, Metazoa, Chordata, Aves, Passeriformes, Tyrannidae.
CUCAGGUGACCCUGGGGAUGACAAUGAUGACCCUGGGGGUGACACAGGUGACUCUCAGGUGACUCUCAGGUGACCCUGGGGGUGACUCAGGUGACUCAGGUGACCCUGGGGGUGACACAGGUGACUCUCAGGUGACCCUGGGGGUGACACAGGUGACUCUCAGGUGACCCUGGGGGUGACACAGGUGACUCUCAGGUGACUCUCAGGUGACAGAGGUGACCCUGGGGGUGACAGAGGUGACUCAGGUGACCUUGGAGGUGACCCUGGAGGUGAC